UCUUUCUUGUUCCUCAAGUAAAUCCACUUGUCCUUGGAGGUAUGUGAAAUACCUUAUAGCAUUUUCCAGUACAGAAGCUUCAUCCAUUUCUGCAAACAGAAAGAAAGAAAGAAAAAACACAAAACAACAGAAUAUUUAAAUUAUUAUGCUUAAAUAUUUUGAUUCUUGAAGUCUAUGUGGAGAGAGAGAGAGAGAGAGAGAGAGCUUAGUGUAUCUUCUUCGGAUGCCCUAUGUUUGCUACACAAUCGAACUCGGAUAAAAUAGACUGGUGGAAACUAUUUUUCAUAUUUUUCAUGUAAGCACGUGGAAAUCGAGCGUAUUUCUUUAUUCAUAAUUGUUGCAAAACAAUGAUGACACAAUGAAGUAAUUUUAUUUUCUUUUGAAAAACUUUCGAGUCCCCACUUUUCUUUGUAAAAACUAUAAAGUUUCUCAAGUCACGGUCUCACUUUUACAGUUUUAUAUAUAUAUAUAUUCUCUCAUUAUAGUUGAACCCUUUUCUAAAUGUAUUAAAGAUUGUUAACUUCUAGUUCAUGCUUAUGUUUAUUGUGUUUUUUUCCUCUUCUCAUUGGUAUCAUCAACAUAUAGUAGUUAGCACAUUGUUUCUAUACCGAUUCUCAUAUAAGAAGUUCAUUAGGAAAGCAUAAAAAUACUUAUUUACCUCAUUUUAGAAAAAAAAGUUAAGAAAUACAAAAGUGUGAACCAAUAUACCGACAGAAACCAUCAUCGUAGACUACUGACUAGAAAUUUACAUUAAUUAAUGAAAUAUUGAGCAUAGUAAUGUAACAAAAAAUGAAUUCAUGUGGAAUGGAACUCGAACAGUGGCUUAAGUGUUUGGGAAAUCUAUAAAAAGUGAUUAUUAAGAAUCUGUAUUAUCUAAUAGCAAAUUUUGAAAAGUAGCAAAAUGGUAGAAUUUCAUAUUGUGCUUUUAACUUUCCCAAUACAUAUCAUUAAUAUAUUAAUUUAUAAAACUCGUAAGUAUACGGUAUCACUGAUAAGUAAUAAAAUAAUGAGUAAGAUAUCGUUCCCAAUGGACGAAUAGCAAACUUGUAAAAAGAUUUUAUAAUAAUUAUCUAAAUAAUUGUUCUAAUGAUCAAAUUAUGAUGGUUUUAGGAGAGAUGAUUAUUAAGAUUUCAAAUCCCAAUUGGACUUUGAUACCAUUUUUAAGCGAAAUACACUUCAAACCUUGUAAAAAUGGGGCUCAGUCAAACACCCAUCAAACACCAACCAUAUGGGCUCAAACCCACAACUACCUUCGUUUGGUUCCCACUAAGUUGCACUCACAAAGAACACAAUAAUGACUUGCAACCACGAAGGAAGAGAAUAGAGGAAGCAAUUCGAAACUUAAGAGAAACCGAAGACGGCUGUGCUCACGUUCUCUCUCAAAUGCAAAAUUAACACAUGGCUUCCAAGCAAGAAGAAUGAUGGAUAUAUAGUCUUUGGUUUAGGUCAUCUCCAAUUGGGCCCAAGAUAAUUAAAUGGGCCGCAACAAAUUAUCAAGCUAAUGGACCAACAACCCUAUUAAAAGGACCACCAACAAAAAGAUCAACACAAAGACAAUGAGCUAACGCACAUGGGCCAUCCAAAAGUGAAUUGGGACAUGAGUAACUUUAAUUAAUUAUGUCACUUCCAAUGGCCCAAGUUGUUUCCAGGUGAGCCAAUCGCUAUGGUGUUGAUAUAUUUAUCGCAACAACAUUUUAACAUCAUCGCCCAGUCUAGUUAUGACCCGAGUAAUCCUAGUUAUUGCAUGCGCAUUUGUGUGAAAAUCCCAUUUGCAUGAAUGGUUACUUGAUUUGGUGCAUUAUUUUUUGUACUGGAUUUCAAUAUGGUUGACGUGUAUUUACAUGAAUUUUAGAGUGAUCUUAUUACUGCAUGUAAUGUGUUUGCAUGCAUAGUGGUUGAGAUACAUUAGCAUUAAGUAUAUCUAUUGAUAUUGUAGAGUAUGGACGUUUGAUGGUACAUUGGUAAUAUGUACAAGGGAUGUAGAGAGUGACAUUUGGAUCACGAGAAGUGAUGUGAUUAAAUGUUAGAAUCCUUUAUUUGUGAAAAUCCUAAUUGGGUGGAGUGUGAGAGUGACACUCCUAUCAUUUCUAUUAUGCGGAGAUCUAUUAUCCAUUUAGGUUGAGAGAUAUGAGGUAAUGAUAGAUGAACAUCCCAUGGACUUAAGAUCUACGGUGGUUUAUCAGUUAGAUAUGACUAGUGACUAGUUUAGUGAGCAUGGUUGGUGAUGAGAGGAGAUGUGUUCUCGAGAUGCGAAUUGCAUGGAAUCAAGUAGGAUAAUUUUGGUGAGAUCUUUUUGCGGGAUCAUUUAUGCAAUUGUUGUAUAUGUUGGUUAUUUUGAUUAAUUAAAUUGGAGUUAGUCUGAUGUUUUUUACUACGUGAACUUGUUUGAAAAGAUCUUUGUGUUUUCCCAUAUUUUCAUCGCAUGUUUUAUAUGCUCUUGAUUGACACCGUUACUUGAAUGAAGCUAGAUCUUGCGGAAUCAUAUUGAAUAUUAGACGAUACUUUAUGUUAACGUGAUUAUAUAUUUUCUGCUUGGAUUUUCUUGACCUUAGCCCUUGUCAGUACAUGGAGUAGUAUGGUAUGUGUUUCAGGUUAGGUCUGUGAUUCCAAUUUUAUUUUGUUAUGUUGAUUAGGUAAGCAUAAGCUUUAUGUUGCUUGCUUGUAGGUUUAUUGGGUAUUAAGGUGGAGAUUUGUUGAUUUUUUAUAUCCAAUAAAUUCGAGCGAUGAUGCUAAAAUGUUAUUGAGAUAACUAUAUCAACACCACAGUGAUUGGCACGACCUAAAAACAUCUUGGACCAUUGGAAGUGACUUAAUUAGUUAUAGUUUCUCAUUGCUCAAUUCACUUCAGGAUGGCUCAUGUAAGUUAGCUUAUUGUACUUUUUGUUGGUAAUCCUUUUAUUAGGUUUGUUGGCCCAUUAUCUUGGUAUUUGUUUGUAGAGUCAAUUUACUUGUCUUUGGCCCAAUUGAAGGCGACCUAAACUAAAGAAUAUAUAUAUCUAUCAUUCUUCUUACCUCGCAGCCGCGUGUUAAUUUGCAUUUGAAAGAAAAUGUCAGAACAAGCGUCUUUGGUUUCUCUUGGGUUUACAAUUGCUUCCUCUAUUCUCUUCCUUUGUGGGUGCAAAUUAAUCACCAUUAUUAUGUUUUUUAUAAGUACAAUUCAGUGGCAACCGAGUGAAGAUAGUUGUGGGUUUGAGUCUCAUAUGGUUGGUGUUCAUUUGGUGUUUGACUGAGCCCAAUUUUCACAAGAUUUGAAGCGUAUUCUGCUUAUACCACUUUUUACUCUAUCUUAAUACAAUUUACAAUAUCAUGAUAAUAUGUAUGUAUUCUUAUUGAUCAAUGUUACUAAGUUAGAGCAUGUUUGAGCCCCAUUUUCUUUUGAAAAUGCAUUUUGGAAUAAUAGGUUGAUGAAGAAUGUGUAGUUAAAAAAUAAGAAUAAGUUUUGAGUUUGUAAAUUAUUUUAUUGAAAAAUGUGUAAUUGAAAAGAAGAG
RNAcentral lists this long non-coding RNA (3488 nucleotides) under Olea europaea (common olive). RNAcentral's name for it is "long non-coding RNA (OEUR_LNC000558)". Lineage: Eukaryota; Viridiplantae; Streptophyta; Magnoliopsida; Lamiales; Oleaceae. The record is from RNAcentral.